Molecule: transfer RNA, 85 nt
Filed under: Melampsora larici-populina 98AG31
Lineage: Eukaryota; Fungi; Basidiomycota; Pucciniomycetes; Pucciniales; Melampsoraceae
Rfam family: tRNA
About the family: Transfer RNA (tRNA) molecules are approximately 80 nucleotides in length.
Source: Rfam by way of RNAcentral
GGUCGAUUAGCUUAGUUGGUAGAGCGUGGUACUAAUAUUUCAGUUAUCAAUGCCAAGGCCGGGGGUUUGAGCUCCCCAUGGACCA